UCAUUUUGGUUUACGUGAUAAGUUAUGAGAUGUUUUUAAUAAAUAUUAAAUAUUACUUUAAAGAAAAAUAAUGGAUGCAUAUUCAAAACCUGAAUACCCUAACAAUUCCAUCAACAUAUUUAAAAUAGAAAAGACUAUUUGAAAAAUUUUCUUGCAUACUAAUUACACCAAAACUGCUGUGAGCUUAUUUUUUGCAUAUUGCUUUUGUCAGUUGCUUGAAUGUAAUAGAUUUUGAAAGAAUGUUUACAACCUGUACUUUGAAUUUAUUGUGUGUGUAACAGAUUUAUCCUUUUCUGACAAAUGUUAAUUCUCAAUCAGUCAACUGAAUGUCAAUUCAGUUAGAAAAUGUAAUAUUUUUUUAUUUAAAUUGAUUAACUGGGUUCUUUAAUGUAGAACAGUUUUCAGACAAAUUGUGAGAAAUUUAUGACUGUUGACAAUGGGAACAAAAGAUAAUUUGCAAAACUUUGACACUUUUGACAUAAAAUAUAUUAGUAUGUAAGUGCAUUAACUAUUUCAUUUGAUCAAAUGUUAGAUAUUCUUUAUUAGGAAAAUAGAAAUAUAUAGUGGGAAUUAAUUGUGCUCAUAGUUCUUGACCAAUUUAUUUUCUUCAGGUUAUUGGAAAUAGAACAACUAGAAUUUUGAGAGGUCUAGAGCAUGGAAGAAUAGAAGUAGUAUGAAAGAUUGGGGGUACAGAAUGAACAGAGAGAGCAAAUGGUACAUUUGAAAUCAUGCAUAAUUUAAUAGAGGACCUAAGAGGGUCUCAAAGUCUGAUUAGUCAUGGCCACCUUCAGGAAACGAAGUAUGAAUUUUACAGCCAACGAAAAGAAGCUGCUGAUAAAUUUGGUGAAAGAAUACAGAUCAGUCAUCGAAGACAAGAGAAAUGAUGCUUCGGCACUUCAGAAGAAAGAAGAGACCUGGCAUGAGUUGUGUUCGAAAUACAAUAGUCGCCAUGGAGUUAAUAAAAGAAGUGUAGGACAGCUGCAAAGAUGCUGGAAGAACAUGAAGGCCAGGUCCAAAAUCACUGUGGCCAUGGAGAUGGAAGACAAGAAAGACGAUAACAACUUUGAAAUUAAGGAGGAACGAACCGAAUCUGAUCUGGCUUCCAAGCCUGCUUAUGAUUUGGACAUCGUUUAUCCCAGCGAUGGAGAGACUUCUGGCAACACUCGUGAGGAAUUAUCUCCUUCACCCUCAGCUGAGAUGCCCUCCUAUUCAUCCGACUCAUCAGGGAUUGUCUACAAUGUGCCCUAUUCUGUGCCAGUCAAUGGGAAGAGAGAAGAGGGUGACUCUCUGGACACCGAUGGGAUGCCUAACCAUUCUCCCUCUGACAAUAGGAAUGAAAAUGCCUCCCCGGAGGAGUGGGACUGUCUGAGACGUCAGGAGCACACCAGCAAGAUGAAGCUGCUACAGAUGAAGAUGGACAUGGCACGAACUGAACAUGCUGCAGUCAUGAAGGUGUAUGGAGCCCAGCUUCAGUACUGGCAACUUAGAACUCAGCAGUUGUUGGGCAAUCAUCAGGACACUUGACCAUCUUCCUUCUUCUUGAUGGUCUUUUAUAGCAGAUCUGGGCUGUGCUGUUUAGGUGGAAAGUAGCCAGAAGAUCAAGGUUCUGCGCAUCUAGUUUUUGCCAUCUUAAUUAUAUUAAUAUGGAAUUGGUGAAGAUCUUCCUUUCCAUCAGCUGAUUUCUAAGACUUCUGGUAGAAAUAAGCAUUGUGAAAUGACACUUAGGCAUUUUGUAAACUGAUCAUAAUGACAGAAUUCCCUCAGGUUUAAAUUAUUUUAUCAGUAUUUCAUAAAAACCAAAGUUGAUCUCAGCAUUCCAACACCAAAUUUUAUUCCAAAUUAUUUUGUUCACUGUUUUCCUCUGGGUCUUCAGCUUUGGCUGUUUCCACCACACACCAUUUCCAACAUGUUCCACCUCUAUUUCUGACUUGAAAGAAAAUAAUUUUUGAUUGUGAAGCAAAUUGAUGAUCAACAAAAUGGAAUGUAGUCAUACUCUGGACUUAUUUUAUUGUUUCCAGCUUCUAAUUUUGGGUUGGGCAUGCAAGGAAAAUUCAACCAUAACUAAAAAGUUUGGUUUUUGAGAGCUGGAAAGUUUGUUUCUUGAAAGAUAAUGUUCUUAUUGACUUUAAAGCAGUUGAGAGUGGAUGGACAUGUAUUUAUUUCACUGACAUAUCUUGUCUUUUUACCUGUUUCAUUUCCACUUGAUGAUCUUAUCUGAUUUUUGCACAGAAACAGAAAAGUUGAGUGUUGAACUAGCUGAUUUUCUAUUCUAAUUCCAAAUUUUUUUCAAGCAGAACAUAGUCUACAGGUGGAUAGUUUCAGGUGGAUUUGCACUUCCACUUAAUGUCUGCCUAAAAUUUUGGUAGUUCCUGAAAUGACCAUGGCCUAAUAGAAUAUUCUAGUGCAUGGAAACUAGUGGAGUGGUUCAAAAAAUGGGAUGUAUUUUGCAGAAUUGGAUCCACUUAAAAAUCAAGAGUGUGAUGGAGAAUCAAGUAAAAAUAAAAUAAAAUCUGAAGGAAUUCUGUUAAGAAGGCAAAUUCUGGUCCAUGCAGUGCACUUUGAAAUGUUAAGAAGCAAUUCAGGAAAUUUUCUUUGGCCAAUAGUUUUUUCUAUAAACUGUUGCUAAUUUCUUUUAUAUAGAGGUGAAGUCUCCACUCAGUCUUCCUACUUUGAAAGGAAAGCCAGAUUUCACUCCUGUGUACAGCCCAAGAAGGCUAUGAGUGAGAAAGCUAUUCUAGUCUAGUAGGAAACUCCAUUUUUUAGGAACCUAGAAAAAGUCUGAAGAGGAGGAGGGAAAUGGAAAAUGGUCAAGAUAAACCUCAGUCACCAGAUUAUGUGACUAAAAGAAGUGGAAAGGUCACUGGUGUUAUGAGUAUCUGGAAACAAAACUAAAAAACAAGUUUAGUUACUGAAUUUUAUAAGAAUUAGUAAAGUCAAGUUCAUUAUUCUGGUGACUUGAUCAGCUCCACAUCUGGAUUCCUUCAGAGGUUUUUUCUUUGAUUCCACCUCCAGAUUACUUACCUACAAAUAAGUUUUAGCAGGUGGAAGAUUAUGGCCACUUUCCUUUUCCACCUCA
RNAcentral lists this unclassified non-coding RNA (3076 nucleotides) under Centruroides sculpturatus (bark scorpion). RNAcentral's name for it is "myb/SANT-like DNA-binding domain-containing protein 3, transcript variant X2". Lineage: Eukaryota; Metazoa; Arthropoda; Arachnida; Scorpiones; Buthidae. The record is from RNAcentral.